Molecule: small nucleolar RNA, 233 nt
Filed under: Hyphopichia burtonii NRRL Y-1933
Lineage: Eukaryota; Fungi; Ascomycota; Pichiomycetes; Serinales; Debaryomycetaceae
Source: RNAcentral
AAACUUGUCCAAAGUUUACAUCCAUCACAUUAGACAGUGCACCGGUAUGGUUGUAUAAGACUGCGCGACUAGGACUUCACAGUUUUUGUGGGUUCUGGUCAAUUAUAUGUGGUGAUUAUACAACGAUUCAAUCAUGUUUGGUGCGAUAGCUGAUGGAGAGAAUAACGAUGAAUCUUUAAGAACCUGUCUGGAUAACGUAACUGAAAGAGAGGUGUCAGUAGAUCCAUAUAUUG